GGGGAAUUUUGGACAAUGGGCGCAAGCCUGAUCCAGCAAUGCCGCGUGCAGGAUGAAGGCCUUCGGGUUGUAAACUGCUUUUGUACGGAACGAAAAGGCUCUGGUUAAUACCUGGGGCUCAUGACGGUACCGUAAGAAUAAGCACCGGCUAACUACGUGUCAGCAGCCGCGGUAAUACGUAGGGUGCAAGCGUUAAUCGGAAUUACUGGGCGUAAAGCGUGCGCAGGCGGUUAUAUAAGUCAGAUGUGAAAUCCCCGGGCUCAACCUGGGACCUGCAUUUGAGACUGUAUAGCUAGAGUACGGUAGAGGGGGAUGGAAUUCCGCGUGUAGCAGUGAAAUGCGUAGAUAUGCGGAGGAACACCGAUGGCGAAGGCAAUCCCCUGGACCUGUACUGACGCUCAUGCACGAAAACGUGGGGAGCAAUC
RNAcentral lists this ribosomal RNA (425 nucleotides) under uncultured bacterium. RNAcentral describes it as "bacterial SSU rRNA". It matches the Rfam family "Bacterial small subunit ribosomal RNA", at positions 356 to 773 of the family's 1533-position model. The record is from RNAcentral.